This is a long non-coding RNA of Ailuropoda melanoleuca (giant panda), 1169 nucleotides long. RefSeq lists it as uncharacterized. NCBI's taxonomy places the organism in Eukaryota, Metazoa, Chordata, Mammalia, Carnivora, Ursidae. The record is from RefSeq and is a predicted model, not a curated record. The transcript has 3 exons.
AUCAUGACCUGAGCCGAAGACAGACGCUUAAUGGCUGAGCCCCCAGGUGCCCCUAAUCCCAGCCGCAGCUCCUGUGCCUGCGUUGAUUCUGUGUGGAGAAGCAGCAGCACGCAGAAGCAUGGAAACGGGACCUGGAGUCAUGAAACCCAGGUUCAAGCCUGGGUCCUCCAAUUGCCUGCCUCAAGGACCUGUGGUGUUAGCGGUAUUAGCGGCUAGCUGAGCUUGGAUUUCUGUUGGGGGCACCAUUCGCAGCCCAGGGACUGUCCGGUGUGCACAGGGCCAAAGAACAUCCGAAGAGUUCCCUGGGCCUUGGACAGGCUGAACCAACCCCUUAGCACCCACUGCCUAGGAGCUGGCUGCUGCACAAUUGUCUUUCUUCUCUGGCCUCUCUCUCUAGCAAUAGAUCCCUGUCCCCGGACAGGUUGGACACCUCUAGGAAGUGGUGAAACCAGCUGGUGGUGUAGUUGUGUAAGGACGUGCACAAAUAUCGCGGACUCACAUGUGGGACAGUUUUGUGACACAGAGGGGCCCUGUGCCUCCUCAAGCCCUCCGGUGGUGUUCUUUGGAAGCCGACUUGCAUACACCACAUGAAGUAGCAGCAACAGGGCCAGUCACAUAAGCCGAACAGCCCCAUCCCACAAGCUUCCUCCUGCUCUUGGGGGAGUGCCAGAAGGAUCCCGGGAACACAGCUGGACCAUCAUCGUCACCUCAGCGUUCCGUGGUUCUGCACUUAACUCCAUACUUCAAAGAAAAGAAUUAAGAAACACCAUUAAGGUUGGCUUAGUUCCCAGGACCAGAUGGCACAGAUUACUAAAUGCAAUUCUCUUUUCUUAAAUUCUAGAGAUGAGUCUGAGGGGGAACGGACUCGCCCAGAAGCUGUGGAAGAGCUUCAGAAGAACCUCUAUCCUAUCGCUCCUGGGCUUCCGUGCCACUUCUUCUGUCCCAGGUGCCUACUGGCAUUUUCCCAUCGUGCCCUGUGCCCUUAUCACCAUCCCAGCAGACAGUAAAAUAGUGGGGUACAGCUCUCUCCUGGGCUUUGACAAAGAAGGAGCCCAGCCCCAUAAAGGACAACCACAGCCUCUUUCCCUUGAGUGGAAUGUGCUAAAAACCAAUUUUUUAAGUAAUAUUUUUUAAUUAUAUUAUGUUAGUCACCAUACAGUACAAUUAAA